AAAGGAAUUGACGGGAGCCCGCACAAGCAGUGGAGUAUGUGGUUUAAUUCGACGCAACGCGAAGAACCUUACCAGGUCUUGACAUCCAGAGAAGUCUGCGUAAUGGCGGAUGUGCCCUUCGGGGAAUUCUGAGACAGGUGGUGCAUGGUUGUCGUCAGCUCGUGUCGUGAGAUGUUGGGUUAAGUCCCGCAACGAGCGCAACCCUUACGGUCAGUUGCUACGCAAGAGCACUCUGGCCGGACUGCCGUUGACAAAACGGAGGAAGGUGGGGAUGACGUCAAAUCAUCAUGCCCCUUAUGAUCUGGGCUACACACGUACUACAAUGGCGAAAACAAAGGGAAGCGAAGCUGCGAAGCGGAGCAAAUCCCAUAAAAGUCGUCCCAGUUCGGACUGCAGGCUGCAACCCGCCUGCACGAAGUUGGAAUUGCUAGUAAUCGCGGAUCAGCAUGCCGCGGUGAAUACGUUCCCGGGCUUUGUACACACCGCCCGU
Molecule: ribosomal RNA, 490 nt
Filed under: uncultured bacterium
Lineage: Bacteria
Description: bacterial SSU rRNA
Rfam family: Bacterial small subunit ribosomal RNA
Source: RNAcentral